UACGUAGGUGACAAGCGUUGUCCGGAUUUACUGGGCGUAAAGAGCGCGCAGGCGGUCGGUAAAGUCGAGUGUGAAAGCCCCCGGCUCAACUGGGGAGGGUCAUUCGAUACUGAUCGACUCGAAGGCAGGAGAGGGUAGUGGAAUUCCCGGUGUAGUGGUGAAAUGCGUAGAUAUCGGGAGGAACACCAGUGGCGAAGGCGACUACCUGGCCUGUUCUUGACGCUGAGGCGCGAAAGCUAGGGGAGCAAACGGG
Molecule: ribosomal RNA, 253 nt
Filed under: uncultured bacterium
Lineage: Bacteria
Description: partial 16S ribosomal RNA
Rfam family: Bacterial small subunit ribosomal RNA
Source: RNAcentral